CCUCUAACGUUUUGCAGGAUUUAUCUUGGUCUUUCCUGAUAUUCUCUGCAUGUGUGCAACACAGUCAAGAGCGACAUUUCAUUGAAAACAAGCUACGUGUCCCACAGGUGAUCUGAGGAUGAAGAUAGUGAUCUUAUGUGUUUUGGUCAUUUUGUUCUGUUCAAGAACGAAGGAGAUGCCUAUGCAUAAAAGAAGACAACAUGGACGAAUUUUGUAUAAGAGAGAAAGUGGGCCAAACAUAAUCCAAAACCUAAAAAGGCAUUCGGAUGGAACAUUCACCAGCGACUUCAUCAACAACCUUGACAGGAUGAAGGCUAAAGAUUUUGUGGAGUGGCUGGCCAUCACCAAGGAGGCGGGAUGUCAUGAGAACCUGCUCCAAAUUCCAACAGAAGCAUGAGACGACAAAAGAAGACUCCUCCUCUGAAGUAGAUUAACAAAAUAGUAAUGUUCAUUUCAAAUUUGCUAAUGUAUUGUCAAAUAAAAUUUGG
Cyprinodon tularosa is the source of this 488-nucleotide RNA transcript. It is a transcript of the gene named pro-glucagon-like, with no coding region annotated. NCBI's taxonomy places the organism in Eukaryota, Metazoa, Chordata, Actinopteri, Cyprinodontiformes, Cyprinodontidae. The record is from RefSeq and is a predicted model, not a curated record. The transcript is spliced from 4 exons.